UACGUAGGGACCAAGCGUUGUUCGGAUUUACUGGGCGUAAAGGGCGCGUAGGCGGCUAUUCAAGUCAUCUGUGAAAUCUCCGGGCUUAACUCGGAACGGUCAGAUGAUACUGCUUUGCUCGAGUGCGGAAGGGGCAAUCGGAAUUCUUGGUGUAGCGGUGAAAUGCGUAGAUAUCAAGAGGAACACCUGAGGUGAAGACGGGUUGCUGGGCCGACACUGACGCUGAAGCGCGAAAGCCAGGGGAGCAAACGGG
This 253-nucleotide ribosomal RNA is filed under the name uncultured bacterium. RNAcentral's name for it is "partial 16S ribosomal RNA". It matches the Rfam family "Bacterial small subunit ribosomal RNA", at positions 524 to 776 of the family's 1533-position model. The record is from RNAcentral.